AACGAACGCUGGCGGCAUGCCUAACACAUGCAAGUCGAACGAGACCUUCGGGUCUAGUGGCGCACGGGUGCGUAACGCGUGGGAACCUGCCCUUAGGUUCGGGAUAACUCCCCGAAAGGGGUGCUAAUACCGGAUAAUGUCUUCGGACCAAAGAUUUAUCGCCUUUGGAUGGGCCCGCGUUGGAUUAGCUAGUUGGUAGGGUAAAAGCCUACCAAGGCGACGAUCCAUAGCUGGUCUGAGAGGAUGAUCAGCCACACUGGGACUGAGACACGGCCCAGACUCCUACGGGAGGCAGCAGUGGGGAAUAUUGGACAAUGGGCGAAAGCCUGAUCCAGCAAUGCCGCGUGAGUGAUGAAGGCCUUAGGGUUGUAAAGCUCUUUUACCCGGGAUGAUGAUGACAGUACCGGGAGAAUAAGCUCCGGCUAACUCCGUG
Molecule: ribosomal RNA, 433 nt
Filed under: uncultured bacterium
Lineage: Bacteria
Description: partial 16S ribosomal RNA
Rfam family: Bacterial small subunit ribosomal RNA
Source: RNAcentral